Molecule: transfer RNA, 69 nt
Filed under: Heteralonia sp.
Lineage: Eukaryota; Metazoa; Arthropoda; Insecta; Diptera; Bombyliidae
Description: tRNA-Gln
Source: RNAcentral
UAUAUUUAGGUGUAUGAUGCACAGGAGAUUUUGAUUCUCCAGGGAAUAGUUUAAUUCUAUUAAAUAUAA